AUUGGAUCCAUAGGGCAAGUGCAUAAAGAUUUAAAAAAAAAAAAAAGUGGGAAGAGACAGUGACACCAGGAGAGGUCCAAGGACAAAACCUUGGGGAAACGUGACACGUAGAAGUUAGGCAGAGAAAUAAAUCAGAAAGGGAAAGUGAAUAGUGACCAGAGGGAAAGGAGACCUGGAGAGAGCUGGUGGGGGGGGGGGNUCCCAGAGAUGUCAGGAAACAAUGUUUAGGAAGCAGGAGGGGAGUGCUCAAUUGUGUCAGAGUCUAAGACGAUUUCUAUCAUACCCACCAAGAGUUUCAUAGUGAAGUGAACCUGACUUUGCCUCCGAGCUUUGGGUAGGAGUAGCAACUGACACAACCUCUCCAAGAUUCCGAUCCAACUUCCUUUAAUUGGAGAAGAGCACUUAUCUCUUUCUCACAGGGCUAAAAUGCUUCACCUGGUGCUGACUGCAGAAAGCCCUCACCAAUGAUACCACCACCACUAUCAGGGAAAAUGAGAGAUGUGAUACACAAUUGUUCAAAAUACAGAGAUGCCUACUCUGAAAAAAUAAAGUCAUAAGAUUCUGCAGCAUUUAAUACUUUAAAGACAGAAGAUUGUGUGACUUCAAAAACAGUGAAAUUAUAGAUACCUGGAAAUGAGCAGCCUUUGUGUUGGAAGACAGGUAACUGGAAAUCAGAAGCUUUACGUACGGCUGGGUGAGGGACUUUAAAAUGAACAAAAACGAUGUUCAAACAAAGGGAUCUUGAGGACGCCUGUAUAAACAACAUCUUUACUUUAUGGAGAGGCCGAAUGUCUUAUGCAGAUCCCAUGGUGAGCAGCAGCCAGAGAAAGCUGCAGUGACUCUUCAGCUGCACUCCCUAUGUGUGUGGCUGGAGGAAUGAGCAAGGCACCAAGAGGACCUGAGGUGUGCCUUCGUCCACAGAGAGCAGCUUUCUGUAACCUCUGAGGCACAAAUAUUCCAUAAUGAUAUACCUCAUAAUGUGCAGUUUGCUCCUUUAUCAUAGAUCUUAGAAAACUGAUUCAAGAAAAAGAAGCAGAAAGGAUGUGUUAUUUUAGGAAAUAAAAAGAAUAUAG
This 1073-nucleotide long non-coding RNA is filed under the name Vulpes vulpes (red fox). Its description in RNAcentral is "lncRNA (ENSVVUG00000018367.1)". The record is from RNAcentral. Lineage: Eukaryota; Metazoa; Chordata; Mammalia; Carnivora; Canidae.